ACUCCUACGGGAGGCAGCAGUGGGGAAUAUUGCACAAUGGGGGAAACCCUGAUGCAGCCAUGCCGCGUGUGUGAAGAAGGCCUUCGGGUUGUAAAGCACUUUCAGUAGGGAGGAAGGUAGUGUAGUUAACACCUGCAUUAUUUGUACGUUACCUACAGAAGAAGCACCGGCUAACUCCGUGCCAGCAGCCGCGGUAAUACGGAGGGUGCGAGCGUUAAUCGGAAUUACUGGGCGUAAAGCGCAUGCAGGCGGCCUGUUAAGUCAGAUGUGAAAGCCCGGGGCUUAACCGUCGGAAUUGCAUUUGAAACUGGCAGGCUAGAGUCUUGUAGAGGGGGUUAGAAUUUCGAGGUGUAGCGGUGAAAUGCGUAGAGAUCUGAAGG
Molecule: ribosomal RNA, 380 nt
Filed under: uncultured bacterium
Lineage: Bacteria
Description: bacterial SSU rRNA
Rfam family: Bacterial small subunit ribosomal RNA
Source: RNAcentral